UUAUUAGAUAAAAAACCAACGCCCUUCGGGGCUUCUUGGUGAUUCAUGAUAACUUUACGGAUCGCAUGGCCUUGCGCCGGCGACGGGUUCAUUCAAAUUUCUGCCCUAUCAACUUUCGAUGGUAAGGUAUUGGCUUACCAUGGUUUCAACGGGUAACGGGGAAUUAGGGUUCGAUUCCGGAGAGGGAGCCUGAGAAACGGCUACCACAUCCAAGGAAGGCAGCAGGCGCGCAAAUUACCCAAUCCCGACACGGGGAGGUAGUGACAAUAAAUACUGAUACAGGGCUCUUUUGGGUCUUGUAAUUGGAAUGAGUACAAUUUAAACCUCUUAACGAGGAACAAUUGGAGGGCAAGUCUGGUGCCAGCAGCCGCGGUAAUUCCAGCUCCAAUAGCGUAUAUUAAAGUUGUUGCAGUUAAAAAGCUCGUAGUUGAACCUUGGGUCUGGCUGGCAGGUCCGCCUCACCGCGUGUACUUGUCCGGCCGGGCCUUCCUUCUGGAGAACCUCAUGCCCUUCACUGGGCGUGUUGGGGACCAGGACUUUUACUUUGAAAAAAUUAGAGUGUUCAAAGCAGGCCUUUGCUCGAAUACGUUAGCAUGGAAUAAUAGAAUAGGACGUGCGGUCCUAUUUUGUUGGUUUCUAGGACCGCCGUAAUGAUUAAUAGGGACAGUCGGGGGCAUCAGUAUUCAAUUGUCAGAGGUGAAAUUCUUGGAUUUAUUGAAGACUAACUACUGCGAAAGCAUUUGCCAAGGAUGUUUUCAUUAAUCAGUGAACGAAAGUUAGGGGAUCGAAGACGAUCAGAUACCGUCGUAGUCUUAACCGUAAACUAUGCCGACUAGGGAUCGGGCGAUGUUCUUUUUCUGACUCGCUCGGCACC
RNAcentral lists this ribosomal RNA (874 nucleotides) under Shiraia sp. Its description in RNAcentral is "SSU rRNA". It matches the Rfam family "Eukaryotic small subunit ribosomal RNA", at positions 207 to 1087 of the family's 1831-position model. Lineage: Eukaryota; Fungi; Ascomycota; Dothideomycetes; Pleosporales; Shiraiaceae. The record is from RNAcentral.